AUUGAACGCUGGCGGCAUGCUUUACACAUGCAAGUCGGACGGCAGCACAGAGAAGCUUGCUUCUUGGGUAGCGAGUGGCGAACGGGUGAGUAACAUAUCGGAACGUACCGAGCAGUGGGGGAUAACUAAUCGAAAGAUUAGCUAAUACCGCAUAUUUUCUGAGGAAGAAAGCAGGGGACCUUUGGGCCUUGCGCUGUUUGAGCGGCCGAUAUCUGAUUAGCUAGUUGGUGGGGUAAAGGCCUACCAAGGCGACGAUCAGUAGCGGGUCUGAGAGGAUGAUCCGCCACACUGGGACUGAGACACGGCCCAGACUCCUACGGGAGGCAGCAGUGGGGAAUUUUGGACAAUGGGCGCAAGCCUGAUCCAGCCAUGCCGCGUGUCUGAAGAAGGCCUUCGGGUUGUAAAGGACUUUUGUCAGGGAAGAAAAGGGCGGGGUUAAUACCCCUGUCUGAUGACGGUACCUGAAGAAUAAGCACCGGCUAACUACGUG
This 490-nucleotide ribosomal RNA is filed under the name uncultured bacterium. Its description in RNAcentral is "partial 16S ribosomal RNA". It matches the Rfam family "Bacterial small subunit ribosomal RNA", at positions 30 to 507 of the family's 1533-position model. The record is from RNAcentral.